This 439-nucleotide non-coding RNA is filed under the name Oryza sativa Indica Group (long-grained rice). RNAcentral describes it as "rRNA LSU_rRNA_eukarya". It matches the Rfam family "Bacterial large subunit ribosomal RNA", at positions 853 to 1290 of the family's 2925-position model. Lineage: Eukaryota; Viridiplantae; Streptophyta; Magnoliopsida; Poales; Poaceae. The record is from Rfam by way of RNAcentral.
UUCUCCCCGAAAGCUAUUUAGGUAGCGCCUCAUAUGUAUCCUCUCGGGGGUAGAGCACUGUUAUGGCUAGGGGGUCAUCGCGACUUACCAAACCAUUGCAAACUCCGAAUACCGAGACGGACUGUAUGGGAGACACACGGCGGGUGCUAACGUCCGUCGUGAAAAGGGAAACAACCCAGACCCACAGCUAAGGUCCCAAAUUCACUGCUAAGUGGGAAACCAUGUGGGAAGGCACAGACAGCCAGGAGGUUGGCUUAGAAGCAGCCACCCUUUAAAGAAAGCGUAAUAGCUCACUGGUCGAGUCGGUCUGCGGGGAAGAUUUAACGGGGCUAAGCAGUGAACCGAAGCUUGGGGUGCAUAACUUUGUUAUGCGCGGUAGAGGAGCGUUCCGUAAGCCGUUGAAGGUGGAUUGAGAAGUCUGCUGGAGGUAUCGGAAGUG